UACAUUUUAUUAUUAAUAUGAAAUGUUUCUAAAGCUGUCUCUAUAAAGAGUAUUCAGAACAGCACAGUUGUCAUGAAUAUGCAUAAAUGCAAGUAGGUGGAGCUCGAGGUGGAGAUGUACAUCAAAUAGUAACACUGACAUUCAUUUCUAAAACUAGAGGUUUGAACUAAACACUCAGGAAAACAAUGUUGUUCCUGUUCAUGGUGUUUCUCAUUCUUGCUGAUAUUGAGGCUGCUGACAAUAGCAUUAAACCAGAUCAAACCAAUGUAUUUUCAACGGAAGGCAGCAACAUCUCACUGUCCUGCACGUAUACUGGAUCAGCUUACAGUCUCCUCUGGUAUCGACACAAACCUGGAUCAAGACCUGAGUUUCUGCUGAUGAUUCUUGAAGCAAGUAAAACUGUCACACCAGCUCAACCACCUCCACGAUUGUCCAUAAAACUUAAAAAUGAUCAAGAUAAAAAGAGUAAGAAAGUGGAUCUGAUCAUCUCCUCUGCUGCUGUGACAGACUCUGCUCUAUACUACUGUGCUCUGCAGCCCACAGUGACUCCAUGGCUGAUCCAAUAG
Molecule: non-coding RNA, 566 nt
Organism: Tachysurus fulvidraco (yellow catfish)
Lineage: Eukaryota; Metazoa; Chordata; Actinopteri; Siluriformes; Bagridae
Source: the annotation of a RefSeq genome assembly